Pelobates cultripes (western spadefoot toad) is the source of this 1545-nucleotide non-coding RNA. The record is from the annotation of a GenBank genome assembly. NCBI's taxonomy places the organism in Eukaryota, Metazoa, Chordata, Amphibia, Anura, Pelobatidae.
GCAGAAUUUACACCAAUACCCUUUUAGUCUAUUACACUAUCAAUAAUCUAGUGGCUGUAUUUACAACAGAGCACACUUAGUUAAGAUAGGGUGAAAUCUAGCAAACUAUAAUAUACAACAGAUGCUGCUUAGUUUCGCCGAUCUCCCCGACCUAGCAAUCAAAAUUUACACCUAGCAUGCUAGUCAAGGCAGGACAUCGGUGUCCGACAUGAGCUAUUUACACCAGAACUCAGUCUGACAAUACCACCUAUAUUAGACGGGCUGGCUACAGAGCGUCUAAUGUCCAGAUAAGUGUUGCACCUUCACUUCUUCCUUCCAGAGGGAAGGGGCCAAUUCCAAUAACCAGUUCCAAAUAUAAAACCCCUUGUGGGUCUACCGCUCUAACGGUAUCAGUCUUACCGGUUAGUUCCUGGACCUGGGUUCACACUCAUCCACGGAACACCCCGGUACUCACUGCGCAGAAGCCGAUGAUCUCCUGGACAAAAGGCCAGUGGUGCCGAGACGAAAGGAGGUCCAUGCAGAAGUCCAGGGGUGCUGACGUGGAGAACGUUGGUAAAGAUCUACCAUCUCACGUCUCUGUCUCAGCUACCGUGACGAUGAGCUUCCUGCUGCCAAUGCACCAGAGAUGUAACCGUGUAAGCGUGCAGAAGCCGAACACAGAGAGAUGGACACAGGUAUUCAGGAAGUAAGAGGCCUUUAUUCACAUUACCGAUCGGGUCUCAGAUGAACUCCUGUUCCAAAAUUCCUUAGAGUACAUUCCUUAUAUAGCACUGUAGCUCCUCCCAUAAUUAGCUAUGCCCACACAUACCCUUAACCUAAUCAAUGAACAGAGUCUAAACUCAUGCAUCCGGUCUAACCAUGUGGCUCAUCUGAAACAAAGGAGAGGGACACGUAAUUCCAGUUCCUGCAUUCCUGCACACGCUCAGUACAUUGAUGACAGUAUCUUAGCUACGUGUAACUAACUAACUGAUAUUACACAUGCACCUACAUAUGCCUUGUGGCAAUCUUGGCCUGCUAAACUUUUAUUUUACUGGAAUUCCAUCACAGACUAACUCCAACAGAAAAUAGCCCUUUAGUGAUUUAUGUGGAUGCAACUUACAUGAAGACAUGGUUAAGAGGUUAAGCUGCAACCAUUAGAAAGGGGAGAAGCAAAACCAAAGCAAUCAUGGUAUGAUUCUUUGUGCCAGAAGGAUAAAUCAACAUCUCAGAAUCAAAUGAAGUGUAAUUUUCAAGGACUUCAAUAGCCGUGAAGUGUGAAUAGUAUAUAUCAGGGGUGGGGAACCUUUGGCCCUCCAGAUGUUUAUGGACUACAUCUCCUUUAAUGCUCUUACAGCCAUAAUUCUAGCAAAGCAUCAAGGGAGAUGUAGUCCACAACAUCUGGAAGGUUGAAGGUUCCCAACCCCUGGUAUAGAUAGUCUUAUAAGAAGAGCUUGUUAAUGAGAAAUGUAAGUGUUGGCUUGAAAAAGUCUUGUUAUUUUCCAAAGACCACAACAACGGCAGGUGAUACCUUAAUCUCUUAAGGACUGUUGUGUCUGUGACUUAAAU